CCUACGGGAGGCAGCAGUGGGGAAUAUUGGACAAUGGGGGCAACCCUGAUCCAGCCAUGCCGCGUGUGUGAAGAAGGCCCUCGGGUUGUAAAGCACUUUCAGUGAGGAAGAACGCCUGGUGGUUAAUACCCAUCAGGAAAGACAUCACUCACAGAAGAAGCACCGGCUAACUCCGUGCCAGCAGCCGCGGUAAUACGGAGGGUGCGAGCGUUAAUCGGAAUUACUGGGCGUAAAGCGCGCGUAGGUGGCUUGAUAAGCCGGUUGUGAAAGCCCCGGGCUCAACCUGGGAACGGCAUCCGGAACUGUCAAGUUAGAGUGCAGGAGAGGAAGGUAGAAUUCCCGGUGUAGCGGUGAAAUGCGUAGAGAUCGGGAGGAAUACCAGUGGCGAAGGCGGCCUUCUGGACUGACACUGACACUGAGGUGCGAAAGCGUGGGUAGCAAACAGGAUUAGAUACCCUAGUAGUC
This 465-nucleotide ribosomal RNA is filed under the name Vreelandella stevensii. Its description in RNAcentral is "partial 16S ribosomal RNA". It matches the Rfam family "Bacterial small subunit ribosomal RNA", at positions 338 to 795 of the family's 1533-position model. The record is from RNAcentral. Lineage: Bacteria; Pseudomonadati; Pseudomonadota; Gammaproteobacteria; Oceanospirillales; Halomonadaceae.